UCAGUUGCUAUUCUAGUGCAAAAUAUUAGGCCAUGUUUGUAUGCACCGUUGAAUUGAAUUGCAAAUAUUAGGCCAUGUUUGAAUGCAAAAUAUUAUGUCCUUCUCUCCUUCCAUUUAUUCCAAUUGAUAAGUGAACGGCUCCAACUUAUAUUGACAGUGAAGCAAAAAUGCAUCAUCUUAGCAAAGGUGCAGCAGAGCAGGUAAUGUUGCCAUUACCUUUGUGGUUUUCUUGUUACUAACAACUCUAAUUGUCAGUGGCUAGUUGGUUGCUUAUCCUCCUUGGGCGAUGGUUUUGCAUAUUCUGAAACUUGCAUGCAAUAAGUCAGCCAUAGUGCAGAGAGUUAACGCUGCGAUUAGCAAGUUUGCAGAUAGAAGACUUCGAUCACUUACUAUAGCAUUCCAGGAGGCUCCAGAGGGAAGCAAAUAUAGUCCGAGAGGUCCAUGUAAAUUCAUCGAUCUCAUGCCUCUCUUUAAUCUUCCCUGGCAUGAGAGUACAGAAACAAUCAGGCACACUUUGAAUAAAUCUUGAAAUAAUCACAUUGUAUGCAGAUUUGAGUGACAGACAAUCAAUACGUCUGUGUCUCUGUGUGCAUCCAAUUAAAUAUGGGCAAUGCCAUUCUGUCAAGAGAUGCCUGCCAAACUCGUUGAAAUGUCAUCUUCCUUUUACUCUUCCUUUGGCUCCCAAUGAUUUGUUUCUUUCUUCUCUUUUGAUGUUUGGCAGUGCCAACGUCUCAGUGGGAGUGAAAGAAGACCAGUUGGUGAUGACAGGAAUGCACACAGUUGUUGACAUAUUUUGUGUCGGUUGUGGGUCAAUUGUGGGGUGGAAAUAUGUAAGCUUGGGGGGCAAGGCUUUAGCAUUAUGGUCCAUGUAUAUAUUAAAAUAAUGGUUGGUUAAUGAUUUUGCUUUCAGGAGGCCGCACAAGUUCAUUUUAUGUUUUCAUCAUGGAUGUAUCCUAAAUAAGUUCUCUACUAUGUUAGACAUGUUGUCAUUCACUAUGUUAAACUUAUUUUACCUUUUCUUUGAUGAUG
This is a long non-coding RNA of Magnolia sinica, 1029 nucleotides long. RefSeq lists it as uncharacterized. Lineage: Eukaryota; Viridiplantae; Streptophyta; Magnoliopsida; Magnoliales; Magnoliaceae. The transcript has 3 exons. The record is from RefSeq and is a predicted model, not a curated record.